CCUUCGAUAGCUCAGUUGGUAGAGCGGAGGACUGUAGAUCCUUAGGUCGCUGGUUCAAAUCCGGCUCAAAGGA
Molecule: transfer RNA, 73 nt
Filed under: Merluccius polli (Benguela hake)
Lineage: Eukaryota; Metazoa; Chordata; Actinopteri; Gadiformes; Merlucciidae
Description: tRNA-Tyr
Rfam family: tRNA
About the family: Transfer RNA (tRNA) molecules are approximately 80 nucleotides in length.
Source: RNAcentral